UGGGGAAUAUUGCACAAUGGGCGCAAGCCUGAUGCAGCCAUGCCGCGUGUGUGAAGAAGGCCUUCGGGUUGUAAAGCACUUUCAGCGGGGAGGAAGGCGGUGAGGUUAAUAACCUCACCGAUUGACGUUACCCGCAGAAGAAGCACCGGCUAACUCCGUGCCAGCAGCCGCGGUAAUACGGAGGGUGCAAGCGUUAAUCGGAAUUACUGGGCGUAAAGCGCACGCAGGCGGUCUGUCAAGUCGGAUGUGAAAUCCCCGGGCUCAACCUGGGAACUGCAUUCGAAACUGGCAGGCUAGAGUCGUGUAGAGGGGGGUAGAAUUCCAGGUGUAGCGGUGAAAUGCGUAGAGAUCUGGGGGAAUACCGGUGGCGAAGGCGGCCCCCUGGACAAAGACUGACGCUCAGGUGCGAAAGCGUGGGGAGCAAACAGG
RNAcentral lists this ribosomal RNA (429 nucleotides) under Chloroflexota bacterium. Its description in RNAcentral is "Chloroflexi bacterium partial 16S ribosomal RNA". It matches the Rfam family "Bacterial small subunit ribosomal RNA", at positions 355 to 776 of the family's 1533-position model. The record is from RNAcentral. Lineage: Bacteria; Bacillati; Chloroflexota.